This 396-nucleotide long non-coding RNA is filed under the name Pan troglodytes (chimpanzee). RNAcentral describes it as "lincRNA". The record is from RNAcentral. Lineage: Eukaryota; Metazoa; Chordata; Mammalia; Primates; Hominidae.
CAGUCACAGCAAGCUCACUUCACAGGAACCAAGCUGUGGGCUGAUCCUACAGACUUGAAAAGACAACUCAAAAAGGUUGGCUGUGAUAGGUGUCCCUGGCCACGCCAGUGGAGCACCCAGGCCUCAAGCAGCAUGCUGGGGAAGGGAAAACCCUCCAUUCUGGUGAUGGAGGUGGCCAUGACCAUGUCUGGUUUUCAAAGGCAGCUUUGUAAGAACAGAAACCAGCAGCUCCCCAACAUCUGGCCCUAUCUGCUGUGCAAACCACAGGGACCAGGACCUUUCCGGGGUGCCAGUGGCAUCCUCUGGAACCAGCUUCUCAGUGGAAUUUCAGAUGCUAUUCCUGGUCAAUUGCCUUUGCUAUGUGGUAUCCUUUAAUAAAUUCUGUUUCUCCUCAUA